RNAcentral lists this ribosomal RNA (460 nucleotides) under uncultured bacterium. Its description in RNAcentral is "partial 16S ribosomal RNA". It matches the Rfam family "Bacterial small subunit ribosomal RNA", at positions 338 to 795 of the family's 1533-position model. The record is from RNAcentral.
CCUACGGGAGGCAGCAGUGAGGAAUAUUGGUCAAUGGGCGCAAGCCUGAACCAGCCAAGUCGCGUGAGGGAUGACGGUCCUAUGGAUUGUAAACCUCUUUUGUCGGGGAGCAAGGCCCGCCACGUGUGGCGGGAAGGAGAGUACCCGAAGAAAAAGCAUCGGCUAACUCCGGGCCAGCAGCCGCGGUAAUACGGAGGAUGCGAGCGUUAUCCGGGUUUAUUGGGUUUAAAGGGUGCGUAGGCGGAAGGUUAAGUCAGCGGUAAAAUGUCGGUGCUCAACACCGGCCUGCCGUUGAAACUGGUCUUCUUGAGUGAGCGAGAAGUAUGCGGAAUGCGUGGUGUAGCGGUGAAAUGCAUAGAUAUCACGCAGAACUCCGAUUGCGAAGGCAGCAUACCGGCGCUCAACUGACGCUGAGGCACGAAAGCGUGGGGAUCGAACAGGAUUAGAUACCCUAGUAGUC